CGGCGCACAGGUGCAGCUGCGCGCGGGAGAGAGAGAGGAAAACGCCAGCGGCCCCCUCCCUCCGGCUCACAAACCCAUCAUUAGGACAAUUUUCCUCGCGCGCAGAUCGGCAGGCCUGUGAUUUGAAUCUGUGGAUCACCUGUAAUAGUAGUUUUUAGCGCUCAUCUGAUUCCAUACAUUUAGCGCCGGCCCGGAGCCUGAGAGCGCGUUUGUGUCGCCAGCUGCAGCCGGAACUCUUUUAGCCGCUGACGCUGAUGGUUUUUACAGACCCUGUCCGUCAUAUCUCCGUUUGCGCUCGCAAUUACGCUAAUUAUUGAUUUUUUUCUUGCCGGAACAAUGACAAGGAGCCCCGGUUUCUCCGGGUGCGCAGGUUUGCCCCCGUGAUUGUCGCCUGCGUAAUUAACGGGGCGGAUCUUUAUGAUCGUCAUCUCUCUAUGGGAUGUAAACAAAUUAAACUAUUUUGACAAUAUGGCAAGGUUUCCUCCAAGACUGGACACAGUGAGUGAGUGAGUGAGUGAGUGAGUGAGUGAGUGAAUCACUACAACGCGCUCAUCUGCGGAGAAGUUUCCAAACGAGAUAAAACGUCCAACUUUGCUCUCCGUGUCCUUUGAUUUACUGCAGCCUUCAGUGAUCGAGUUCACACAGAGGUGCUGCAGCAGCAUCAUCAUCAGCAGCAGCAGUGGGAAACAAUUCUAGAGUGUGGAGUCUAACUGUUAUUGAUCGUGCGUUAUAAUUGUUAGCGAUGACUUCCUGUGUGCCACACUGGUGAAGAACACAUAAAGCUCUGAAUAUACUUAUUUAGCCAAGGCGGGGGGGUGGGGUCAUUCUGGUCAUCGGUUGUCAGGAAGAAAAAGAGAGAGAAACAAAACCAUUCGGAAGUUUGAGAUGCAAUCUUCUCGGAGAACUUCUAUCAGAACGUGAUGACAUUCGGGCGGCUUUUCUAUUGAAACUCGAGCGAGCAAACUCUUAUUUUCCACUCCAGGACUCUGGUAAUGGACAGACAGCAGCGGUCCGUGAGCCGCCCGCGGGCGCGUCACGCGGCUAAUGAAAGCGACGAACAUUAGCAGACCCCGCGCUCCUCUCCUCUCGGCCCAACAACAUCAUCUAUUAGCGCAGCGGCAUUCAUCACGCAGAGGGUCCUGCACUCCGCCGGUGACCUGCGUCACGAUAAUCGUGUGUGUCUAUAAAAAUGCAAUGAUGGGCCAAUGUCACGGGACGUUUCUCUGGCACUGAUAUUAUUCGUGACAGGUCUCGUUUUGACUCAAGGUGUCCUGGUCUUUCAGCGCCUCUGGCGAACAGCAGAGCUGGUGCCACACUCUCAAACAAACCCGAUGAAAAGUGACGCGAUGCGUACGGCGUCAGGAAAGAUCUGAGGCCGCGGCGCCACCUGAGGAAAGAAGAAAGAGAAAACCAUCUGGCAUCCGAGGCCUCGACGACACAUCAGCCCUAACAAGUCCCCGGAGACGCUCACGCUGGGCCGCUGUCCGUGAUGCAUUAAUCAUGUCCGAAUCCUCAAGACAAAGGGCCACACGUUUCUCGUCUGCAUGUGAAAUGAUGCGACGCGGGCCUGCCACGAGGUUAAACUCUCAAACGUGCUCUUUGAUGGGCUUUAAUGAGAUGUCAGCGUCCAGACAGAUUUCUCUGCUGUCCGGUAAAAACAGGCCACAGAGCACGAAGCCUGCUUAAAAACACACCUAGAUGUGUCCCGAUCUUCCACGCGAUCACAGCGUCAGAAGUGUGACGUUCAUCAGUCAAACCGAUGCACAGAGACACUAGACUGAAACACGUCCGUCUCUGGAUCUCCUCUAAGAGCUUCACACUGAUGAACUUUAACAAAAUCUGAUUUUCUGAAGGGAUCAGUGCUUGAACUGCCACAGAUCACCUUCGUUGUUUUUAUUAGUCCUCUGUGACUGCUAUCCAGUAGGAAAAAACUAUCUAAAAAUCUUUGACACAAAUAAAUUUACUUGAGAAGAUUUUAGAUAUUGUAACUGAAAAAUAUUACAGAACUUUUGUAGUGUUUGCAGUUCUCACCACAAUCAUACAGCAGGC
Molecule: long non-coding RNA, 2049 nt
Organism: Cyprinus carpio carpio
Lineage: Eukaryota; Metazoa; Chordata; Actinopteri; Cypriniformes; Cyprinidae
Source: Ensembl